UAUCAAUAAGCGGAGGAAAAGAAACUAACAAGGAUUCCCCUAGUAACUGCGAGUGAAGCGGGAAAAGCUCAAAUUUUGAAUCUGGUGGUCUUUGCAGGCCGUCCGAGUUGUAAUCUAGAGAAGCGUCUUCCGCGCCGGCCCGUGUACAAGUCUCCUGGAAGGGAGCGUCGUAGAGGGUGAGAAUCCCGUCUCUGACACGGACCACCGGUGCUAUGUGAUGCGCUCUCGACGAGUCGAGUUGUUUGGGAAUGCAGCUCAAAAAGGGUGGUAAACUCCAUCUAAAGCUAAAUACUGGCGAGAGACCGAUAGCGAACAAGUACCGUGAGGGAAAGAUGAAAAGGACUCUGGAAAGAGAGUUAAACAGUACGUGAAAUUGCUGAAAGGGAAACGCUCGAUGUCAGUCGCGUCGGCUGGGGGUCAACCUUGCGGUUUCGCUGGGUGUAUUUCCUGGUCGACGGGUCAGCAUCAGUUUCGGUCGUCGUACAAGGGCCGAGGGAAAGUGGCACCCUUUCGGGGGUGUGUUAUAGCCUUUCGGUCGUAUGCGGCGGCUCGGGACUGAGGAGACUCGGUGUGGGCUUCGGCUUGCACUAGAGAUGCUGGCAUAAUGGCCUUGAGCGACCCGUCUG
RNAcentral lists this ribosomal RNA (626 nucleotides) under Boletus rex-veris. RNAcentral's name for it is "eukaryotic LSU rRNA". It matches the Rfam family "Eukaryotic large subunit ribosomal RNA", at positions 41 to 655 of the family's 3401-position model. The record is from RNAcentral. Lineage: Eukaryota; Fungi; Basidiomycota; Agaricomycetes; Boletales; Boletaceae.